RNAcentral lists this ribosomal RNA (464 nucleotides) under Vreelandella stevensii. RNAcentral describes it as "partial 16S ribosomal RNA". It matches the Rfam family "Bacterial small subunit ribosomal RNA", at positions 339 to 795 of the family's 1533-position model. The record is from RNAcentral. Lineage: Bacteria; Pseudomonadati; Pseudomonadota; Gammaproteobacteria; Oceanospirillales; Halomonadaceae.
CUACGGGUGGCAGCAGUGGGGAAUAUUGGACAAUGGGCGAAAGCCUGAUCCAGCCAUGCCGCGUGUGUGAAGAAGGCCUUCGGGUUGUAAAGCACUUUCAGUGGGGAAGAAAGCCUUGGGGCUAAUACCCUCGAGGAAGGACAUCACCCACAGAAGAAGCACCGGCUAACUCCGUGCCAGCAGCCGCGGUAAUACGGAGGGUGCGAGCGUUAAUCGGAAUUACUGGGCGUAAAGCGCGCGUAGGCGGUCUGAUAAGCCGGUUGUGAAAGCCCCGGGCUCAACCUGGGAACGGCAUCCGGAACUGUCAGGCUAGAGUGCAGGAGAGGAAGGUAGGAUUCCCGGUGUAGCGGUGAAAUGCGUAGAGAUCGGGAGGAAUACCAGUGGCGAAGGCGGCCUUCUGGACUGACACUGACGCUGAGGUGCGAAAGCGUGGGUAGCAAACAGGAUUACAUACCCGGGUAGUC